Molecule: unclassified non-coding RNA, 1334 nt
Filed under: Hevea brasiliensis (rubber tree)
Lineage: Eukaryota; Viridiplantae; Streptophyta; Magnoliopsida; Malpighiales; Euphorbiaceae
Source: RNAcentral
GGGCUUGGAGAUUUAUCAUGAUGUAUUGAAAAGAUGGCUGCACGAAUCUCUUCUUCUAUAUAUGGGGUAGUAAGAGACUAAUUCUAUUUUGAAGAAAUUCCCAUGAGAAACAAAAUAAAAAAAAUUGUCUGCCAAUCACAACUAGAUGAGGAAAACAAGCUUGAGAAAUAAGAAACAAUAAGCUCCUCUAACCCCCUCUCUUGAUUUCCUCCACAAACCUGAUGUGUCUUUAAGUGAGAAAAUGAAUUUUGUUUUUUUCCUUACCCAAGUAGCAAAAUGGAAAAAGAGGAGUUGAUAUCACCCUCACGAAGCCAGAACUGCUUUGCAAAUUGCUUCCAAUAAAUCUCAUAAUCCUCAAGAGCUUGUUCAUAACCCUGACAAGCUUUCUCAUAAAGCCUAAUCAAAUUGUUAUCCCACCUAUCAUGAAGUGAAGGCAUCUCCCCUUUGUAAUGAAUAAUCUGGUCAUGACACUUCUUAAGGAAACCACCUCCCCACAUUCGCAAAUCAUGUGCACACUCUUCUGAGCACUUCUGAAUUAAGUGAGAGGGAGACAAAGCCCAACUUUUAUGCUCAACUUCUUUACAUAUUGGUUCCCUUAAUCACAAAUUAUUAAAUUGGAGCCUAUGUCUCCCCUAUAAAUGAAGGACAAACCCAUUUAAGUAAUGAAGGAGAGUGAUAAGAUGAAUGGGCUCCAUCUAAGUUUUUAACGACCACUUCAGGGAAGUAAACCAUCCAUAAGGCCGAAACAAACCCCAAUCUAGUUUUUUAGCUACCCACUAAUUAGAACCUCUACUUCUUUUCCAUGUAAAUGCAUACCCAGACAUGCCUAAAUCAAUUAAUCCACUAUCUUGUAAUGCGCUACAGGAGCCAUCAAUAAGCCAUUGGGGUUAAGUCAACCCACCUUGCAUCUCAUGAUGGAAUAAUAAAUCAUUGAAAACACCACAACAACAAGGAAGCGAAGAAACUCUGCAAAGCAUCUGAAGUCUAUCUUAAGAUGACCUUCUAUUUUGUCUCUCAGGUUCCUCAUAAUGCCAGUCAAUCACCAAGAACUGGAAUUGGGCAAACACACCUUAAUAUCAAUGAAGAACUUGUCAUACCCAAGUAAUAUAAUCGAGUUUUUUUCCCCUCCACAAAAGGGCCAAUCCAUCACGUCUUCCUACAUUAUCAACUAAGAAAAACCCAUCAAAACCAAGAACACAUCGUACAUAAUCAAUCCUCUGCUUUCCAACUUUAUUAGUGUCAAUAAAAAAAAAACACAAUCAUAGGCUUCUGAGUAUUUACAACAACCUGAAGGAUUUGGACUGACCGUUGGUUUCCCAAAUCAUGGCAAUUCC